Mus musculus (house mouse) is the source of this 1548-nucleotide long non-coding RNA. RefSeq annotates it as predicted gene, 41963. The record is from RefSeq and is a predicted model, not a curated record. Lineage: Eukaryota; Metazoa; Chordata; Mammalia; Rodentia; Muridae. The transcript has 2 exons.
UUUUUAAAAAUGUCUGUGAACAUUUAAGUAUACAAAAUCUCAUUACCACAUUCUUGUAUUGAGGAGAUAAUCUCAGAAUGAGUUCAGGGACCCACUGAACAUACUAAAAGACAGGGUUUAGCCAAGUCAAUUAAUGAAAACUCCAUUAGUCAUCUGAUCUCCACUAGUCCACACUUUAACUGAAGGGUCACAAUAUUUCUUAAAAUCUUCCCUAAGGAGCAUCAAUUCAGAACUACCAUCACAUAAACCCUGGAAAGUCUGACCAUUUCCUUUCUUCCACUAUAAAAGUACUUAGGGGUAUCUGGCUGUCUCUUCAUUCAAGGCAUUUUGGGUUAACAAACUGACUCAAGUCUGAAAAUUGAUUAACUGGCUGAGAUUGCCUUUUGCCAGGAUCCAGUGGAAUCUUUCAUUUGUUUAAUAGUUUUUCUGCUUAUACAGAUCAAACAAUUACUCAGAGCUCUCUUAUCUAUAUCAUGCCUGAAAAUGCCAUAAUUGAUAAUCCAGUACACAGGUCCAUAUUCAUGCCACCAUAGAAUUUGUUUUGCCCAUACUCAUCACUACGAUUAGGCCAUUAUGCACAUUGAUUUGUCUAUACUGCCCACUGAGGUAACUGCAAUCGACUUGCCUUUGUUGAUUCAGUGCUUUACCUAGCCUCUAGUACUUCUGGACACAAUUAAACCCAUUGUCUUUAAUUCACACAACUGACCAGCAAUGUCUCCAACUCUAAGUUCUGCCACAAGGAAAACAUUCACAACAAAACUCUUUAAAUGUGUUUGUAUCCCUCUCACCAUUUUGUAUGUCGUAGGACUCAUAAAGGGCAUGUAUCCUGGGCAUUUUAAUUAUGGAGAGUUAUGUUUUACUUAGAGUACCAACUCUAGUUUUAAAAACUACAGGACCCUUGAAACUCCUUCAUCAACACUAAGUCAGAGAAUGUCAGGCACCCUCCAACUCUUUUUUAGUCGGUAAUCUUUUGAUAAAUUGUUCAGCCAAUCAUUAAACAAACUUAAGACAUUUUUUUAAACUGUGCAGGAUUCCAUAUUAAACUUGAAGUCUCCACUCAAUGGGCCUGUGUCAAUAAUCUUAGCAUAAUCCAGCUUCAUGUUCCUUCCACCAUUAUCCCACAGCCUUAAAGUUUGUUCCCACACAUAUUCCCUAGCAAAGUGAGUAAGAUCCUUAGCAUGUUGCAUCUCCUCUUAGACUACACUUUCUACCUCCCCUCUAGGAGUCUACUGUGCUUUAAGUCUGGAUAUACAUCUAGGGGAAACUAUUGGUUAUCCCAGAGGGAUAUUGUGGAUAUUGCCUCUCGUUUCCUUCAGAGUCAGUCACUGCUAGGUAUGGCACUGCAACUCAUUUGCUCUCAGAAACCUAAGGAGAGGCUAUCAUCCUGAGAGAUGACCUGGACUCUCUCUUUGAAAUGAGACAAACCCACACCAUGGAUGGUACCCCAGCGAGACCCCAAAGCAGAGACCCGAAAGGAAUGACUGUGAUCACAUUUUGACAUUUACUUGUUUAUUGCUGUUUAUGAAUAAAUUAGUUGUUAUAACCUAA